Molecule: ribosomal RNA, 252 nt
Filed under: uncultured bacterium
Lineage: Bacteria
Description: partial 16S ribosomal RNA
Rfam family: Bacterial small subunit ribosomal RNA
Source: RNAcentral
UACGUAGGUCCCGAGCGUUGUCCGGAUUUAUUGGGCGUAAAGCGAGCGCAGGUGGUUUAUUAAGUCUGGUGUAAAAGGCAGUGGCUCAACCAUUGUAUGCAUUGGAAACUAGUAGACUUGAGUGCAGGGGAGGAGAGUGGAAUUCCAUGUGUAGCGGUGAAAUGCGUAGAUAUAUGGAGGAACACCGGUGGCGAAAGCGGCUCUCUGGCCUGUAACUGACACUGAGGCUCGAAAGCGUGGGGAGCAAACAGG